UCCCUCUGGGCCCUUGCCGGCCGCUUGUAGAACCGCGCUGCCGGCGCGGGCAGUCCCGAGCGGCCGCCUGCCCGCAGGCCCCGCUGCGCUCCCAUCGGUGUGAACUCCCGCCUGACCCUGGGUUCUGCCCGUUGCUCCCCCACCCUCCUCUCACCCGCCCUGCGGCCGCAUGUCGCCCUUAGUUCCCGAUGUGCUUCUUACUCGCCCGCUUCUUGGAAUUUAGGUGGAAUUCCGUGGGAGCCACUCGCACUCCCUAGCACUCCCGCAGCUCCCCUUCGAGCUGCCGAAACCCCUGUUCUCUCUGCUUCGCCUGUGCCCCUGGCCCGGCCAGCUGACACAAGUCGGGCAGGGCCACCUCUCACCUGAGUGCCAGCAUGGCCUCACUGCGAUUAAGUGCCCCGGGUCAGGUUGCUGCUUUUUAAUCUUGUACUUCAACUGUCCACAACCUUUCCUUGGUUUCCUUCUCGUCCAGCUUCUGCCUGAACCUCGUUUUCCUUCCCCUCCUCAGCCGCCUUGGUUCUCUCAUCAUGCUCCCUCACAGCCAUGGGCAAGAGGUUCCUGAGAUUUUCUGAUGCCUCACAGACUGUGAUCCAACCUUCCCACUUCUGGUCCCAUCUCCAGACACAAGCAUUGCUCAUCAAGCAUGGGAAGUGGUGUUUAAUACAACUGAAAUUCAAGCAGGGUAUCGCUCCUUUCAUUUACUGAAUCGCCUUCAUUAGGUGCAACAGCCACCACUGAAUAGGUGCCAGGGAGAAAGUCCUAAAACCUGUGCCUGUCAUAAUUUAGCUUAAAAUGCUUGCUGUGCGCCUAGCAGCCUCUGCAGCUUUUAAAAAAUAAUUGUGUUAUUUUGGAUUGCCUUGGUUUGAUUUCAUUUCAAAAUCCUUUUCCAGUUUUGCCUGGGUUUUUUUGGGGGUUGAAAUCAGCAGCAGUGUAUGUAACUUUUUUUUUUUCCUAACAAGAAAGUUGCUAUAAAAAGUUUAGCUUUUGCUGCUACAGCUUGGUCUGAAAACUCUCCUGCGAUUAAAAAUGCUUCGUUUGCUCCUGUGUCUCUAAGAAUCCCUCACUUCCUUCUUUAAAUUCCUGUCUAAUUAAAAAAACAGUACAUCAUGGUUAAAUAAAACUGUACCCAGGAUAACCCUGAUUUCCAUAUGCAGAUUUAUCUGCACUGACAGCCCCCUCUCCCUCUCUUGGUCUGUUUCCUCUCUCCCUCCCUCUCUCUCCCUCUUCCCCUCUCUUUCUCUUCCUCUCUCUUUUUGUCUCUCUUUAUGUCUAUUGCAUUAUGCCUGAAUAAUUUUCAGCCUUUUUUUUUUUUCUUCCCCUCUGCACACACAAGCUAAAAUAACUAGACAAAGAUGCAAGGUGGUUGCUGCAGUCCCUGUCUCUAGGACAAAACCAAGAAAGCUCCUGAUUGUAAUGCCACCUUUUUUUUUUCCUUUUUUUUUUUUUCUUUCCUCACCCAUGCUUGGUGAUUAAACUUGCCCAGGAUGGGGAAGAAAAAGGAGCUGGAAAUGAAAUAAGGUUGAGGAAAAAUCCCAUUGCAGCAGCUGCAGCCAGUGGUGUCUGUUGCCAGAUGUGCUAAGCUUCCUGGGGUCCUUGACACUAAAAGGCAGUAUUAAAAUAUUUGGAGACAAAAGCUGCAUCCUCAGUGAUCAUUUUCUUUAUUUAACAUGGCAGCAGGCACCGUGAGGGGGAAAAUCAACACGCUGGAUGUUGAAUUGGACUUUCCUCCUUUCUAGGAUGAAAGGAUGUUAUCUAUCCCAUGCCAAGAGGGAACUGAGGUGCAGGGGGAGGGAAAGAAAGUCUCCAAAACCAGCCCGCCAUGAGCAAUGAACGUAUGGCUGUUACUAUCAGCACUGGUGUGUUUGCAGCGAUGCCUAUCAACAUCCACCAGAGAGCAGGGCAGCUCCAAAACCCACAUCUUUUAUGCUGUGGAAAUUGAUGGAGACAGCAACACAGCCAGCUUCUUGGCCAAACAACAUGGAAUGCAGUUCAUUUCAAAGGUACUGGUCUUUUAGCCUGUAAGGCUUGUGCAUGAUGUGUAUGAGAGCAAUUUCCAGCAGAGCGAAGCUUAUCACAGAUCCACCUAAAAGGAGGAGACAGUGGCAUCAGCAACAUGCCCCUGAGUCUGGAAGACAUCACUCGACGGAAGAACAGUCUGUUAGACUCCUCCUGGAAGUGAUGCCAGUGGGGGAGGAAAAUAAUUCCAGGAGCUGAGGGAAUGGUUAUAGCGUCUCUAAAGAGGACACUUGCCUGUGACUGUCAAUGCAUUGAACUGAGUGUUCUAAUUCUAGAUAAAUAAAUAGAAAGAAAGCUUUCUGCUGCUGUAGGCUGUGCUGAAGACUGCACCGUUUCAUGCUAAGGAUGGACUUUGCUACAGUAAUUCAAGGCUUGUUUGUCGCCAUGCUGGAUUACUUCAGAGACUUCUACUUGGGUUUGUCAGCUGCACACCAUUGAAACAUCAGAUGUUAAAGCCUGAUGACAUUUCUGAGUAACAUGAAGAGCACAACCUGCUAUUUAGACAUGUCAGCAGCAGGCGGCAUCAAAAUACCUUCAAGGAUGUGGUCAUUCUCUCCAGAUCUCCCUGUGGGUGAGCACCUUCGGGAUGGAGUCCCCAUGGGACAGAGACCAGGACAAUACUUUAAAGCAAGGACUGAAGCGUUAUAGUGGAUGUUCUUUGGCCUAAAAAGAGGGAUGGGAUUUGCCAGCUAGUGAACAGAAGGGGAAAGUGCCUUUUUAACCUACCAUUUCCUCCAGUACAGUGGCAUCUCUUCUGCUCUCCAUUUGCCUUUCGAAAAUAAGUGUGUUUCUACCAGUACUUAUGUUUAGGUUUCAGUAUGAUACUUGAUACAUGUUGUGUUAUGAUGUUAUGCCUGUAAAUUCUUAUGCAUGUAUGUAUUUUCAUGAUAUUUCAAUAAAGCCAUCAAGAUUUAAAUUCAACACAAAACAAAAGCAAAUGGGUAAGAAUAUAUGAAAAGAGAUAAACCCAUUAUCAACUUUAUUAUGUGUGUUGUUUGCUAAAAACAUCAACUUUGAUUUAGCUUUUUGAGGUAAAUCCACCGGAGACUUAUUUUACAAAAUUAUAAAAAAUUCUGAAACUGUCACUUAUGUUUUUUUUCUCUAAUACUUUACAGACUGCUAAGACUACGAAGUAGUGGAUUAAUAUGAGGGGAAGAUGACCACUACCUGUGAGAUGACUUUCCUCCUUUUCCAGUAUAUAUUUAUGGUGCUAUAUAAUAGAUGUGUCGUGUUCUAAGUCAUGACAUAUUCUUAUGGAUCUUUGCAACUCCUUUUGAUGAAAAAUGUUUCUGCAUCUGUAAGUAACAUGGCUACUGUAAUAAAUAGGGGGAAAAGUAAUGAAAAGAGCAAAAUAAUUAAAGCUCAAAUAAACAGUUUUUGUCAUUUCUAAUAUGUAAUAUUUAACUUUUAUUUCAUGCUGGGAAGAACGAGUGUUAUUAGAAUCAUGUUAUGAUUAAGGGUUAGCGUUUAGUUCUCUUAUUUAUGGUAAGUAAAAUCUAGCAAAACCAAGGAAUUGUCUUUCAUAAAACUUUUGAGCAUCAGAAUUUGUCUCUUUGUCCCUCCUCCUACCAGUAUAACACAGCCUGUUGGUUCUGGUCACUGCAGCCAGCAUACACCUGAUGAUGGUGACCGUGAUGACACUCCCAAGACUUUUGUGCCUCCAUUACUUUCUCCAGGCCUGAAAUGAGGUGAGGCUGCAGGCAACCAGGGUAAUGUCAUUAGAAUCUCAUCAAACCUGGCUGUUAAGGAAUCGUUUGAUAAAGUGGAAGGAAUUAUUUCUGCUGCUUGCACUGACAAUGAAAAAAGGGCAAGGGAAAAGUUUUGGAUGUAAAAGUAUUACCCCUUGCAGAAACAGCACAAAUCGGCUGCAGUUUGUUUUGCUCUCACAUCCUUGCUCUAGUACAGGGGUAGGCAGGGCAGGCAGGGAUUUUGCAGAUGACAUUUCUGUAUCGAUUUUGUAUAAUAAUGCUGUACAUGCUUGGUUUGGGCUGCAAAAUUCACAGUGUGAACUACUUAACUUCUGCCUCUUUGGCAGUAGAGAAUUGUGAGGCUAAAAUAAACUUCAGUUCCUCUACCCUUGGUAGUUGUUUGAUGCACCUGAAAUCCCAGAGCUAGGAGUUCAGUAAGUUUGUGCUUACACAUGGCUAUGUAUUUACUUAUGAAACCUAUUUUUUAUCCCAAAGCCCAGUUCAUAGCCACAGACAACUCUCUACAGGUUUUCUAAACAUCAUUGUCUUAUCGAGCUUUUAUUUUUAAUCUGUUCUUAAGAGUAGAUCACACUUGGGGCUGAUGUGUGAGGCCAAAGGGAUUGUCUUUUUCUGUAGCCCCCAGCCUGUUUUUUCACCAGCAUAAUUUUCCAACAUUUCUGGGUUUCACUUUCUUCUUUCUAGUCCCUCUUAUCUUCAUGCGGAGUUUUUUUUGACUGUUAAUAUCAUCUUGUGCACAUAUUUUUUUUCCCUUUUUCUUCCCUCCCCCUCACAUCCUUUGUUCAUACAUCCCCUUUGUUUCCUGUUUCAGUUCAUACACUUCUUUUUUCCUGGUCUCUUUUGCACACCUUGGUUUGUUCUCCCUCCAUUCAUAGUACAACUGGGAAAAUAACAUGCUCCACACCUGGGGAGGUGGAUCUUCACUAAUGAUGGUGAAGUUUCACCACGUAUGUUCACAGGCUGGAAAUACCAAUGUGGUUCAGUGUCACUGACCAUUUUUCGUGGGGGAAGAUAUUUAAAUUAGAGGCUUUCAGUAGUGUUCUUCAUAAUGUAAAAUGUUUUAGCUUCAAUUUACUUAGUAUCUGAAUAUGAGUUAGACAAAAUAAUUGUCAGUAUUUGGACUGAUGAUGAAGCCUCACCUUAUACAUCUUAAUUUUCUUUGGGUUUGUGUGAACUGUUGAACUUUGCAAUUUGUUUGUAUCUAAUUCGGUAUUAAAUUCUUGGCUGCCUCAACUUAUUUUAUUGCCACUCAUGGCACUACAUUGAUGGUAAGCAUAACACCAGUUGCAUAUAUUUGUUCAAAUGAAUACUACCUAUCAUCUGAUCUUUAUUUAAACCUCAUUUUACCAUAUUUUUGGAAGCUUUAAAAAUGCAGACAAUGUUCUGAAUUGUGAUUAGAAGUAAACAGCAAAUUAUCAGAGUAUUUUGGUCAAAUAAGAAAAUGGAUUCCUUUACUGGAAAGAGACACAAUAUUCACACUGGGUUGCAGAUGGUUAGAAGUGGCAGUCAAUAAGCUUUGACAGAAAAGAAAUAGUACAGCACUAUUAUUUCUUAUAAACCACCAGAGCCUAGCAUUUUUUUAAACCAAAAUCUUGACCAGAACUCCUGAAUAGUAAUGAAAUAAUUCUUGUAAGAAACAUUAAAAAUAUUUGAAAUAAUAAUUUUUGAGGUUUGUAUUGUCCCAUUAUGUCUAGCAGCCAACAGGAAGCCAAGGACAUUUUAAGAAAAGUUUAUUAAAAUCCAUUGCAUUUGAAAAUACUUAGAUCUACAUUUCUGAUGUCAGAGACUGCUUCAGGUUCUUUCCCUAUGGAUACAGAUUAUUGUUUGUUUUCAGAAUUGCUGAAGCCAGAAAUAUAGUCUGUGAGUUUGAGUGAACUUUCUUCACCUAAUUUCAAAUCUGCUUGAACUUAGUGACUUUUUGUAUUUGAUUUAAGCUUCUUUGAGUUUGCAUUCAAUAAAGGAGGAGAGUAUAGGUGAAGGGAGAAGAGACAGAAAAUCCAAUGCAGAAAUAUCAAGAAAAAAAGUUUGAUAUACAUGCCACAUGUGAAUAACUUGUUUCUCUUUUAGUAUCUUCUGUGUUUUGCAGCAGAGAAGCUUUCCUCGGCAAAGAAAAUAAUCAAGUUGCCAUUUUAAAAAAAUUUAAUCAUGCACAAAGUAUUUAUACUUCAUCAGCUGCAGCCUUAGCAGACAAACAAAUAUGAUGAUUUAUUUCUGUCCAUCUUUUCAACAUGUUAUUCCAAAAGCAAGUCAUGGUAUGCCAGAAGACACGUGAAAUGGAGUAAUCUAUGUUGCUUUCCUCUUACUGUCUGCUAGAAAGUCUGUCCAUCCCUGACUUUAAUCACAUCUGCUUAGUGGUCAAACUAAUUCACCCUGCUGGCCAGAUAAUCUAGUUCGGUGUCCACUGCUGUUAUUACAGACUGGAGGUCAAAUCCUUUAUCUGUUUUCUCCAGACUCAGCUGGACACUGUUUCUUGCUGGGAAUUUUUAGAAGGCAGCGAUAAAUCUUAUUGCUAAUAUCCCAGGAGGUAGUAACAUGCCCUCUUAUAGGUUUAUCUUCAGAAUUUUUCCAGGCUAUGAGAACUUGAAUAAAACCUUUUGAAAGUCCUGGGGAGUUUUGUUUGUUUGGUUUUGGUUUUGUGUGGGUUGGUUUGUUUGGGUGGGGGUUUUUGUUGUUGUUUACCUUUUUUUUUUAAUUUUUUUUAGAUUUUUUUAGUCUGUGCUGCAAGUAUCUCCAGUUACUCCAAACUGAAUUGUGAACUGUCAGCGGAGUCGUCUGAGACUUUGUCUUCAUUUUUAUGUCCAUAAACAAGAAUAUAGUCAAAUCCCACUGUCAAUAUUAUGGCUACCUGUGUGUACAGGUAGUCUUUUGUAGCAUAACCAGCUUGCUUGUUAUAGUCUGGAUAUGUGCCAGACCUGACAUGCAGUGCAUGUGGAUUUGGGGAAUGUUGCACUAUGGAGAACUCCAUUUGUCUGACAGUAAUUCCUGGAUGGUGAAGAGCAGUGAUUUUCUGCCUAUGAUCUAUGGAGAUGAGUAUGUGGCUUCUGAGUUGAGUGCAAAAGGCAACUUGAAAGAAGUUUUUAUGUUAUACUAUGGUUUGUGUGAAAUCUGUCAUUUAUGGGUCAAAACCAAUAAAGCCACUUGUAUACAACUGUGAAAA
Columba livia (rock pigeon) is the source of this 6879-nucleotide long non-coding RNA. RefSeq lists it as uncharacterized. NCBI's taxonomy places the organism in Eukaryota, Metazoa, Chordata, Aves, Columbiformes, Columbidae. The transcript is spliced from 5 exons. The record is from RefSeq and is a predicted model, not a curated record.